GUCUGCCUCGAUUUUUUUAUCGUUGGCCUCAGAUCAKGG
RNAcentral lists this ribosomal RNA (39 nucleotides) under Pyrgus cinarae. Its description in RNAcentral is "partial 28S ribosomal RNA". The record is from RNAcentral. Lineage: Eukaryota; Metazoa; Arthropoda; Insecta; Lepidoptera; Hesperiidae.